Molecule: ribosomal RNA, 433 nt
Filed under: uncultured bacterium
Lineage: Bacteria
Description: bacterial SSU rRNA
Rfam family: Bacterial small subunit ribosomal RNA
Source: RNAcentral
AACGAACGCUGGCGGCAGGCCUAACACAUGCAAGUCGAGCGAACCCUUCGGGGUUAGCGGCGGACGGGUUAGUAACGCGUGGGAAUAUACCCUUUGGUACGGAAUAGCCUCGGGAAACUGAGAGUAAUACCGUAUGUGCCCUUCGGGGAAAGAUUUAUCGCCAAAGGAUUAGCCCGCGUUGGAUUAGGUAGUUGGUGGGGUAAUGGCCUACCAAGCCUACGAUCCAUAGCUGGUUUGAGAGGAUGAUCAGCAACACUGGGACUGAGACACGGCCCAGACUCCUACGGGAGGCAGCAGUGGGGAAUCUUAGACAAUGGGCGCAAGCCUGAUCUAGCCAUGCCGCGUGGACGAUGAAGGCCUUAGGGUUGUAAAGUCCUUUCAGAUGGGAAGAUAAUGACGGUACCAUCAGAAGAAGCCCCCGGCUAACUCCGUG